GAUCAUGGCUCAGGAUGAACGCUAGCGGCAGGCUUAACACAUGCAAGUCGAGGGGCAGCAUAGUGGAUAGCAAUAUCUAUGGUGGCGACCGGCGCACGGGUGCGUAACGCGUAUGCAACCUACCUUUAACAGGGGGAUAACACUGAGAAAUUGGUACUAAUACCCCAUAAUAUCGUAGAAGGCAUCUUUUAUGGUUGAAAAUUCCGAUGGUUAGAGAUGGGCAUGCGUUGUA
Molecule: ribosomal RNA, 232 nt
Filed under: uncultured bacterium
Lineage: Bacteria
Description: partial 16S ribosomal RNA
Rfam family: Bacterial small subunit ribosomal RNA
Source: RNAcentral